RNAcentral lists this ribosomal RNA (253 nucleotides) under uncultured bacterium. Its description in RNAcentral is "partial 16S ribosomal RNA". It matches the Rfam family "Bacterial small subunit ribosomal RNA", at positions 524 to 776 of the family's 1533-position model. The record is from RNAcentral.
UACGGAGGGGGCUAGCGUUGUUCGGAAUUACUGGGCGUAAAGCGCACGUAGGCGGCUUUUUAAGUCAGAGGUGAAAGCCCGGAGCUCAACUCCGGAAUUGCCUUUGAGACUGGGAGGCUUGAACGUCGGAGAGGUGAGUGGAAUUCCGAGUGUAGAGGUGAAAUUCGUAGAUAUUCGGAAGAACACCAGUGGCGAAGGCGGCUCACUGGACGACUGUUGACGCUGAGGUGCGAAAGCGUGGGGAGCAAACAGG